Motacilla alba alba is the source of this 2585-nucleotide long non-coding RNA. RefSeq lists it as uncharacterized. The transcript is spliced from 2 exons. The record is from RefSeq and is a predicted model, not a curated record. NCBI's taxonomy places the organism in Eukaryota, Metazoa, Chordata, Aves, Passeriformes, Motacillidae.
AGAGUUUUAUUUCUUAUUCUCUCAAACUUGAAACAUUUAUUAAAAAAAAAAAAAAAAAGAAGAAGGAAAAAAAAGGGAGAAUAGGUCAGAAAGGAUGGUGAGUAUUUAUUUUUGUCCUAACCCCACCUGAAAUAUAAUAAGUGUAACUAUUAUUUCAAGCCAAAUAAGACAGCACAUCACCAUUUACUGCCACCAGAGCAUUUUCCCUGCAUGUGACAUGCUGGGGAGUGAAAAUAUGUAAAAUAAAUGCAUAGAGGUGGAUCUGUACCCUGAACUCUGAGCACCAAAAUCCUGUGAGGCUUUGCAGGCUGUUCCCUGCAGUCUGUCCUGGCAGGGUGACAAUUCCUGCGCAGGGCAGGUGUCACUGCCAGGCUGGCUGGGCCCUCCUGGGGCUAUUCCAAGCCCUUGUGGCUGAAAGGAGGAAAGGAAGAAUGCACCUCUUGAAGAAAAAGAGCUCAGAAAUGAAUAUUUGAUUUUCCUCUGGUAACCAAUCCUUCUGCUUUCAUUGGGUUUGCUGUUGCAGUAGCACUGGACUGCAAUAGGAUAACAGAUCAUGGAAUUGUUCUUUCUUUCUCUGACUGGUGUAAAUUUAUCUUGAUAAGGGGACCUUAGCUCGCCUGCCCUGCCUGGGGUGUGCCACUGUGUGCCAGGUGUUCCCAUUCAAGCAGCUUUUCAUUGCUGCUUUGAUACAUAUCAAGGAUUCUCAUCACAAGCCAUUGCUUCGUGAAAAGUUCUAAUGGGGCGGGAGUAAAAACCUUUAUUAAAUGACAUGAACUUCUGGAUCUGAAUGUAAUAAAAUAAUAAUUUAUGAUAUAUUUUUAAGGAUAAGAUAUUAAAGUGCAUAUUAAUUAAAUGAAUAAUGAAAACCUUUGUGAGAUUCUCUCCCACAAGUUGCAAGUAGCUGUUUAAUCAAGUUCUUUUUAUGGAAAAAUGCAUUUCAUUAUAAGAUAAUUAGCACAUCUAUUGUGUUUUUAAUACAACUUGUGCUAAAGUGUGUUUGAUCUGGCGUUUGCUCAUGGCAAUUAGCAGUGAAGGAAUUGAACUUUUUUGCUUUAUUCCGGGCUUUGUAAAUUAUAAGUGCCAUAUCUGGGGAAAAUGAAUGUGAUCUUUUGUAAAGCCCUAGAUUAAUCUUGGGAAUAUACUGGGGUAGUCAUUAGGAGCAGCAAAAAGAGAAGGUGGGGAGCUGUGCUGCCUGAAGCUGCAAAUUUAGGGGGGAAUUUUAUUUUCUGGCGCCAAUGUGUUUUGUUGUGUCUGUCCCGUGCCAGUCCUGAGGAAGCUGGAGGGUUCUGCACCCUGGAGUGUUCUGUUCUGCACAGGUUCAGGUUCUGUCCCCCAGGGUGUUCUGCACAGGUUCUGCACAGGUUCUGCACAGGUUCAGGUUCUGCACAGGUUCAGGUUCUGCACAGGUUGUGUACCCUGCUGCAGUCUGGGGGAGCAGGAUGGGGGCACUGGGCAGGACUCAGCCUCUGCUCCUGUUCCUCCCAUUCCCAAAUCCCCGGGGCUGCCCUGCUCUGGGCUGUGCUGAGCGUGGCUGGCACUCCCUGCCUGCCCCAUGUGAGAGGCAGGAGAGCAGGGCAGCAGCUGGGGGUGGUUCAGAGCCCCCUGAUGCCUGGCUGCUGACAUCCCAGAGCUCUGCUGGGCCUUCCCAGCUGCCCUGCUGGGGCCUCCCUCUGCCAACAGCUGUGCAAGGAGAGGGAGAAAACUGCCUUUACAGAGAGUUCUUGGGUGAGUGGUGCCUAGGCUGGGCUCACUUGGAGGGUUUUAUGGCUGGGUUCACUGUGGCACAAAGCCUGAUAUUGUCUCCUGAGUGGAACUCGUUAAUGUGCAGAAAAUCCAAACUUGAGAUUGGCUUUUAUGUAGUAAAAAAACAUAAUACAGUACAGGAAUAUAAAAAGAAACCGUCCAGUGCAAACAUCAUAUAGAUUGGAAAUGGAUACAGUGUUCCUUAAAAUAACUUUAAAAAAAUCAGGCUUAAAAACAGCAAUUCCAGAUAAUAGAAUCUGGCUGAUACCUACCAAAGUACUUGACUUACUGCACUAAAUAAUUUCAUAACUAACUUUACCUGCUGAUAGCCAAUACCACAGGUACAGACAAAAUCCUUAAACUGUAAGUAUUAUUAGUUAGCAUUCUUUAUAAUACACAAAUAUGUGGAACCCCUAGAGCACAUACUCCUGGCUGGAUUAAGCAAAACAGAAUGAGCCCAUUCAAAACAAAACCAAGACUAUCACCCCAAAAUGUACUUUUUAAAAACAAAGGAUAGGAUCUAAGGCUGAUUUGCCCAAUGGACAGAAUUCUUCUCAGUUUUCCUUUAGUUCAUAUUUGAAAAUUUGAGUGAUUACAUUGUUGAUGUUGUAUUAGUGUCCUACCAAGUAUUGCAUUGGACAGCUUUUUACAGCAGUGAGGAGCAGUGUGAGACCAUUAUUGUGCAUUGUUAUUUCCUGCCAAGAAAACAUACUGGGGGACGGGAGUGUGAAUUGGAGAUGAUGUGUACAAGUAAAAAAAGCAAAUUUGCGAGGUUCCACUAUACUUGUUAAAGAAAAAAAAAAAGAUUUAGUAUUAUUUGGUUAGCUACCAGAUUUAAAUAA